UACGAAGGGUGCAAGCAUUAAUCGGAUUUAUUGGGCGUAAAGGGCGCGUAGGCGGGACUGAAAGUCAGAUGUGAAAUCCCGGGGCUCAACCUCGGAACAGCAUAUGAGACUCCCAUUCUAGAGGGUAGGCGGAGAAAACGGAAUUCCACAAGUAGCGGUGAAAUGCGUAGAUAUGUGGAAGAAUACCGGUGGCGAAGGCGGUUUUCUAGCUUAAACCUGACGCUGAGGCGCGAAAGCAAGGGGAUCAAACAGG
This 253-nucleotide ribosomal RNA is filed under the name uncultured bacterium. RNAcentral describes it as "partial 16S ribosomal RNA". It matches the Rfam family "Bacterial small subunit ribosomal RNA", at positions 524 to 776 of the family's 1533-position model. The record is from RNAcentral.